CCUACGGGUGGCAGCAGUGGGGAAUAUUGGGCAAUGGGCGCAAGCCUGACCCAGCAACGCCGCGUGAAGGAAGAAGGCUUUCGGGUUGUAAACUUCUUUUCUCAGGGACGAAGCAAGUGACGGUACCUGAGGAAUAAGCCACGGCUAACUACGUGCCAGCAGCCGCGUUAAUACGUAGGUGGCAAGCGUUAUCCGGAUUUACUGGGUGUAAAGGGCGUGUAGGCGGGACUGCAAGUCAGAUGUGAAAACCACGGGCUCAACCUGUGGCCUGCAUUUGAAACUGUAGUUCUUGAGUACUGGGGAGGCAGACGGAAUUGCUAGGGUAGCUGUGAAAUGCGUAGAUAUUAGGAGGAACACCAGUGGCGAAGGCGGGCUGCUGGACAGCAACUGACGCUGAGGCGCGAAAGCGUGGGGAGCAAACAGGAUGAGAUACCCCGGUAGUC
RNAcentral lists this ribosomal RNA (443 nucleotides) under uncultured bacterium. RNAcentral describes it as "partial 16S ribosomal RNA". It matches the Rfam family "Bacterial small subunit ribosomal RNA", at positions 338 to 795 of the family's 1533-position model. The record is from RNAcentral.